GACGAACGCUGGCGGCGUGCUUAACACAUGCAAGUCGAACGGAAAGGCCCUGCUUGCAGGGUGCUCGAGUGGCGAACGGGUGAGUAACACGUGGGUGAUCUGCCCCUUACUUUGGGAUAAGCCUGGGAAACUGGGUCUAAUACUGGAUAGGACCAUGCUGUAGGUGGUGUGGUGGAAAGAUUAGUUUCGGUAAGGGAUGAGCUCGCGGCCUAUCAGCUUGUUGGUGGGGUAAUGGCCUACCAAGGCGUCGACGGGUAGCCGGCCUGAGAGGGUGGACGGCCACAUUGGGACUGAGAGACGGCGCAGACUCCUACGGGAGGCAGCAGUGGGGAAUAUUGCACAAUGGGCGCAAGCCUGAUGCAGCGACGCCGCGUGGGGGAUGACGGCCUUCGGGUUGUAAACUCCUUUCAGCCAUGACGAAGCCCUUGUGGUGACGGUAGUGGUAGAAGAAGCACCGGCUAACUACGUG
This 469-nucleotide ribosomal RNA is filed under the name uncultured bacterium. RNAcentral's name for it is "partial 16S ribosomal RNA". It matches the Rfam family "Bacterial small subunit ribosomal RNA", at positions 28 to 507 of the family's 1533-position model. The record is from RNAcentral.